CACUGGGUGCUGGAAGUGACAGCCAGCAGUUAGCAGGGGGUCUGGGGACUUUACAGGCCGGAACCCUGCGUCUAGUGAUGUCAAAGCUGAUGCAGCAGCGGCAGUGGCCUCAUCAAACAGUAAAUUUGCACUCUGAAUUAAUCACCUUAUGUCGGGUACACACUAUACGACGUGUGUACCCGGAAAUAUCAGCAGCGAUGGGACCCGGCGAGGUUCCUACAUCGGCAUGAGAUGGAGCAGCGGCAGGGGGGGAGCAGGGCCGUGCUUCAUUCGGCAGCAUGGUCCUCGCUGGCGAUAUCGCCCAUCGUCCAUGUAUUGUGAACGAUGUAUCCACAAUAUCAUCUAGUGUGUACCCAGCAUUAGGCCAGAAUUAACAGAGCUGGAGGCACGGAAAUCUCUAUCUGAUGAUAUAAAGUAUUGCUGAAAAUCACAGAAAUACAUCAGGAAGAUAAAACAAUAAAAUAAGAAUAAGAAGAAUAAGAAGAAGAAGAAGAGCACAUGUAAAUUAGUCAGUUAUUUACCUGAAGUCACCUACAUCCAUCACCUUCGGUCCACCCAGUGAGUGCCCCCCAGUGGUUCAUUCUGAAGACGUCAGUGUAUGAGACCACAGGGAGCUCUGAGGGAGAGGUGAGACCUCCCAUCAUCUCUACUGCACAACUGCCUGACUGACAUUUUUGAUGGUUAUAUUAUAGCUAUCAAAUGAUAGAACCUUCAAAAGCACUCAGCAUUAAAUAAAAAGCCAGGACAGUUCACAUUCCUUCAUUGUUUGAUAAUUAUCAUGUAUCUCUUCUUAUGUUCUCAAUGUUAUUUAAUUGUGCUUGUAUAUCAUCUUUUAUUUACUGUUUAAUUCUUGCCAUUUUUUUUUAAAUUUUGAUUAUUCAGCUAGUUUAUCCCUAGAACUCCUAAAACAUCACCAUCUGUGUCUGACAUUUUCUCCACACCUUCCUAACCCUUCUAAAAUGUCACUCUGGGAGGCGUCGUGUGACUCAUACAGAUUGUUCACUGGCUUUGGUGCUUCAUUCAUAUACACCUCAAGUAUUAUCUACCAUCUCUUUUUGUGUGCCUAUACAAUACAUUAGAUUGUAAGAUUCUCCGGCCAGAGGCCUCUUAGUAACAUAGUAACAUAGUAACUAAGGUUGAAAAAAGACAAUUGUCCAUCGAGUUCAACCUAUUUGUGGUCUCCUAUGCAGUCUUAUUAUAGGACUAGUUAUUUUUAUGUUAGGACUAGUUAAAUUAACUAUAAUGCAUGCCUACGCACCAUAACCUUGAAUAUCUUUAUCCAAUAGGAAUUUAUCUAACCCAUUCUUAAAGGUGUUGACUGAGUCCGCAGUUACUACUCUCUCAGGCAGGAAAUUCCAAACACGUAUUGUCCUUACUGUGAAAAAACCUUUUCGCCUCAAUGGGGGUAAUUCUGAGUUGAUCGCUGCAGGAUCUUUGUUAGCAGUUGGGCUAAACCAUGUGCACUGCAGGGGAGGCAGAUAUAACGUGCAGAGAGAGUUAGAUUUGGGUGUGGCGUGUUCAAUCUGCAAUCUAAAUUGCAGUGUAAAAUAAAGCAGCCAGUAUUUACCCUCCACAGAAACAAAAUAACCUACCCAAAUCUAACUCUCUCUGCACAUGUUAUAUCUGCCCUCCUGCAGUGCACAUGGUUUUGCCCAACUGCUAACAAAAAUCCUGCUGCGAUCAACUCAGAAUUACCCCCAAUGUGCGGAAACUCCUCUCCUCUAACCUAAGCGAGUGACCAUGUGUUCUCUGUGCUGAUCUUGUAGAAAACAGGUCCCUCCCAAGCUCUGUGUAUUGACCCCUUAUAUAUUUGUAGAUGUUGAUCAUGUCCCCUCUUAGUCUCCUCUUUUCCAAUGUAAACAUGCCUAGCCUUGCAAGCCUUUCCUCGUAUUCCAGCGUCUCCAUGCCCUUGAUUAGUUUGGUCGCCCGCCUCUGAACCUUUUCUAGCUCCAGGAUAUCCUUUUUGUAAUAUGGUGCACAAAACUGCACACAGUAUUCAAGAUGUGGCCUCACUAGUGAUUUAUAUAAUGGGAGUAUAAUACUCUCAUCCCUUGCAUCAAUUCCCUGUUUUAUGCAUGCUAAUAUCUUAUUAGCCUUCUUUGCUGCACUCCUACUUUGGGUACUGCUGCUUAAUUUGUUAUCUAUGUGAACCCCUAAGUCUUUUUCCAGUACAGAAUCCCCUAAUAUUACCCCAUUUAGUAUGUAGGUGUAAUUUUUGGUCUUGCCCCCACAGUGCAUUACCUUACACUUGUCUGUGUUGAAUCUCAUUCUCCAUUUUGCAGCCCAUGCUUCCAGUUUAGUUAAGUUGUUCUGAAGAGACUCAGCAUCCCCCUCCGUAUUUAUAACCUUACACAAUUUGUUAUCGUCUGCGAAAAUUGACACCAUGCUCUCUAGACCUACUGUUAGGUCAUUGAUGAAAAUGUUGAACAAAAGUGGUCCAAGUACAGACCCUUGUGGCACACCACUUAGUACUUUAGUCCAAUUGAAAAUGAUCCAUUGACCACAACGCGCUGCUCCCUAUUAUCUAACCAAUUACUGACCCAAGUGCAUAUUGUGCUCCCUAGCCCUAUUUCUUGUAGCUUAUAGAUAAGACGCAUGUGUGGUGCAGUGUCGAAAGCUUUGGCAAAGUCUAAAAAGAUUAUAUCCACUUCCUUUCCCUGAUCCAGGUUCGCACUUACUGUUUCAUAAAAGCCAAGUAAGUUGGUCUGACAUGAUCUGUCCUUCACAAAUCCAUGUUGGUUCCUUCUAAUGACCUUAUUUGCUUCAAGGAACUUUUGAAUACUGUCCCUUAGAAUACCUUCCAAUACUUUCCCCACUAUAGAUGUAAGACUAACUGGUCUAUAAUUACCUGGUUUAGCUUUGCUCCCCUUUUUAAAUAUCGGCACUACCUCCGCUAUACGCCAGUCCUUGGGUACCAUACCCGAUUUAACCGAAUCCAUGAAGAUCAAAAAUAGAGGUCUUGCUAGUUCAGCGUGCAACUCCAUAAGAACCCUCGGGUGAAUUCCAUCGGGACCAGGUGACUUAUUAAUCUUUAACUUUUUUAAUCGGUCACAGACUACCUCCUCACACAAAUAAGCAUUUAGCAGUGGGACAUUAUCUUUGUUCUACUUUAUUUGAUUUUAGACUUGCAAUUAACCUUAUACUUAAUCCUGUGUUAUUUACUUAAAUGCUGUACAGAUAUAUAUGCUUUUUUUUUUAACAGUACACAAACAUAAAUGUGAUCACUUUUUAUUAUUAUGUAUAUAUACAAGCGUUUUCCCACAGCUUUGCUCGUGUGAAUGUCUGCUAUUGCUUAGCAGAACUAAUUUUACAAAGACAGUUGUGCCAUCUAAUAUUGUGAUGUUCAUUUUAUAUUAGAGACAUUGAUCACAAUAUAGGGGGUAUCCUAUUAGCAGCGGUACUUUACUGCUACUAAUAUGAUCGCCGUGUGCUAUUCUAUUAACCCCCGAUGUGGCGCGCUCCUCCUCUUAUCGGGGGAUAAUGCUGAGGUACCCGAAGCAUAAUCUGCAAUAAGGGGGCUGCCAGAUCCACAAUAACACCGGGGGUCGGGGACUUUUUGCGCAAUCGCAUGUCCAAUUCAGGCCUCUAUUUGGAUACUGUAAUAAGCACCGUUGGUCAUUAAUCGCAAUAUCCGGUCGUUUUGACCGGCCAAAAUAACUUCAGGGUUAAUAGGAUAUAUCCCUAAGGGGUAUAUGCAAUUAGCGGCGAAUCGCGGCAAAUUAUCGGCCGUUUUUCAAUUCGACAGUCUAAUUUCGGCAAGUGGGUGCUGAAAUUGACCAUAUGCAAUAAAAAACGGAUUCGACAGUCCCGCUGCCGAAAAACGGCCAAUUUGACGGAUUUGUUCCGUUUUUUCAAAAACGGGAAAAA
Pseudophryne corroboree (corroboree frog) is the source of this 3867-nucleotide long non-coding RNA. RefSeq lists it as uncharacterized. NCBI's taxonomy places the organism in Eukaryota, Metazoa, Chordata, Amphibia, Anura, Myobatrachidae. The transcript has 5 exons. The record is from RefSeq and is a predicted model, not a curated record.